Paramormyrops kingsleyae is the source of this 1013-nucleotide long non-coding RNA. RefSeq lists it as uncharacterized. NCBI's taxonomy places the organism in Eukaryota, Metazoa, Chordata, Actinopteri, Osteoglossiformes, Mormyridae. The record is from RefSeq and is a predicted model, not a curated record.
AGACUAGAGUAAUCGACAAUAGAAAUGCUGAUCGUCAGUGCCAAGAUCAACCAGUUAACCUGGUCAUAUUUGUCAGACACAUCGUUGGAUUCACCGGGAGUUUACUGGUCUUUUUUCCCUCAGUCUCUGAUGGAAGGUCUCCCCUCACAUCUAAAGACAUGAGGUUUAUGUGGAUUCGUGUCUUUUAAUUGUGUCCUUCACAGAGCAUAAUGACACAUUAUGGGCAAUUCAGAGAUACCAGUUAAUCUUGCUAUUAGGAGUGUAACAGUAGGUAUUCCUACCGAAAAUUUUCGGUAUGGGUUUUUCGGAUUGGUACGUAUAUGUACUGAAUGAACGAAGCAAAUGCGUAACCUUUCUGCAUUUGUGUUUCCCUGAGCAACAUUUAGAAGGGGCAGAUGAAGCUGCGCCAAUAGACGUGCAUAGUUUCAGUAUUUGUAUGUACAGUUAAUUUUUGAAAUGUGCGUUUUAAUUGAUAUUUUAUUUUUAUUUCUUUGAUAGAAUAUUUUUAUUUAAAUUUUUUCUUUUUAUUAGUAUGUUGCAGCAGUAUUGAGACUCGUUAAAGAAAUACGUUGUUUAGUAAACCACUGUUUAUUAAUGAAAAAAAAAGCAAUUUAUGUUUUGUUUCUUUUACCCUUGCUGUACUGAAACCGUAAUGAACCGUGACUUGAAAAUCAACGUACAUACUGAACCGUGAUUUAUGUGUACUGUUGCACCCCUACUCGCUACACGUGUUUUGGCUGUGGAAGAAAACCACCAACCUCCAGCCUUAGAAGAAAGAUAUAAUAAUACUACAGACUAAGCUCCAAUGCUACCCAAAUAAAAAGAAUAAGCCUCUGAAUUUCAUUGCAAUGCUUGAAAGAUCAUUAAAACACACUUCUUAAGUGAAUGAAGAAGUAAAGGAAUAUAUAUUUAGUGUGUGUACAGACACACACACACACACACACACACACACCUGUACUCAUACCUUUGUGGGCACUGUACACACAUUUAUUUCUAUGGUCAACAACGACCAU